UUACCACUUACACUUACCACAAGCACUACCACCACCACCACCACUUCCACUUACCACUUCCACUUACCACUUCCACUUACCACUUCCACUUACCACUUCCACUUACCACUUCCACUUACCACUUCCACUUACCACUUCCACUUACCACUUCCAUUACUACCACGACUACCACUAACCAUCACCACUUUCAUCUCCAUUCUUGUCAUUAUUGGCUUGUUGUACGUUGUUCAAAUGUUUCAACGUAUGUACAUUUGUGACUACGAUUUCUUGUUAGCGAUAUAAACGAAGAGGAUAAAGACUUUGGAGUAAAUAAUUUUGGCCGUGCCACUAGCAUAAUGUAUUUGUGCGUCUAGGUAUCCUUAGCGUUGCAAGUGGAAAGUGGCUUCACACUAUAAAUGGUUGACACAGCUAAUACAUUAGACAUAAACUUUCUCAGCAUUCACGAACAGUAAAAAUACUAUUGGUAAAUGAUUCAUGGAUAUAUAGUAUUAGUAUUUGGCAUUCGUUUCGCUUAUGAAUUGUGAUUGAACCGAUAUCGUAUCAUCAUUAAAAGUUUCCUGUACAUCUUCUACAUCAUUCAAACAUGUGGAAGAAUCAUAAAUUUCACAAAAAUAAUGUCUCAAUCGCAUACGUAUUGUCUGCUCUGACUUGGCUUGUCUUCUGUAUGUGAUCCAAAUAGACGAGAAUGUCAAUCCAUCAUGUACGACCAAUCACACUUCCUAUAGCUGAAACCGAGUGCAAAUGCUUUUGUAGCAAUCAUGAU
Non-coding RNA from Schizosaccharomyces pombe (fission yeast), 763 nucleotides. NCBI's taxonomy places the organism in Eukaryota, Fungi, Ascomycota, Schizosaccharomycetes, Schizosaccharomycetales, Schizosaccharomycetaceae. The record is from the annotation of a GenBank genome assembly.